CAAUAGCGUAUAUUAAAGUUGUUGCAGUUAGAACGCUCGUAGUCGGAUUUCGGGGCGGGCCGACCGGUCUGCCGAUGGGUACGCACUGGUCGGCGCGUCCUUCCUUCCGGAGACCGUGCCUACUCUUAACUGAGCGGGGGCAGGAGACGGAUCGUUUACUUUGAAAAAAUCAGAGUGUUUCAAGCAGGCAGCUCGCUCUUGCAUGGAUUAGCAUGGGAUAAUGAAAUAGGACUUUGGUGCUAUUUUGUUGGUUUCGAACACCGAAGUAAUGAUUAAAAGGGACAGUCAGGGGCACUCGUAUUCCGCCGAGAGAGGUGAAAUUCUCAGACCAGCGGAAGACGAACCACUGCGAAAGCAUUUGCCAGGGAUGUUUNCACUG
Molecule: ribosomal RNA, 379 nt
Filed under: uncultured eukaryote
Lineage: Eukaryota
Description: partial 18S ribosomal RNA
Rfam family: Eukaryotic small subunit ribosomal RNA
Source: RNAcentral